Aegilops tauschii subsp. strangulata is the source of this 1022-nucleotide long non-coding RNA. RefSeq lists it as uncharacterized. The record is from RefSeq and is a predicted model, not a curated record. NCBI's taxonomy places the organism in Eukaryota, Viridiplantae, Streptophyta, Magnoliopsida, Poales, Poaceae.
CCUCCCCGUCCUUUUCUAAUCUGCUGCAAACGGUUUUCGGCUUGUGGGGUCGACGUCGUGUUGGUCCCUGAGCAGAUGGGCGGCGCCGUGGUUGGUGAUGGUGCCAUGGCGGUGCAGGCUCAACGGCGUGGUGCUCGGGGUAGUCGGUGGCUUCGGCGGUGUGGUUAGCUCUCCGGGUUCCUCGAUACCGGGAAACGUAGCGGGGAUGCAUCGACUGCGAGCCACGGCGACGGCGGUGCUGCUCCAUCUCGUCGGGUACGUCGAUGUGACGGCAUAUACACUGCACAAGGAUGCAGAUAUGGGCACAACAAUGGAGCUAAUGCUUCUACGAACAUGGUCAAUCCCUAAGAGCAUUUUUGUUACAACAGCUGGAUUCUGCUAAGACUGGAGGUGUCAACCUAAAUGCACAUAUAUCAGACUAAACGACAGCAGUCGAAAACCAUUUUAUCUGCAUUGUGUAAUUUAUCACACAGAUUAAUUACAAUAUUUAUUCUAUGGGCAUGAGUCCGCGAUUUGUGACAUUUGGUUACAGUUGUUAUGUGGUGUGAUUUUUCAGUGCAAUCUAAUGAUAUCGGCAAGGCUUAAAGGAAUACUUAUGUCGACACAUGUUUAUUUUACAUUGGCACCGAGAAUUCUUACCAUUGUCAACCUUUGGUCGUAGACAUCUUUCCAUCCGACCUUUUAGUUUAUUUAGGUUGAUUGUUUGCAAAAUCCUCUUAUUUACACCAGCUGAUUUUUCUGUUUGGAAGUGGCUCCAAUAUUCCAACUUUAACGAUAAAUUAUACGGGACAAUGCAGCAAUCACAAGAUAAGAUGGCAAGGAUUCAGAGAGCAUCUGAGCUCGGGAUCAGAAACGAAUAUUCGUAGAUUAUAGACUAAUUUACGUUGGCUCCGUUAUAGUAUUUUCUUCUUCUCAAAAUGGCUCUGGGAAGGUACGUGUACAAUGGCUGGGGCUUUGGGGCAUCCGUAAAAUUACAUCCUGAUGGAACAAAUCUUACGUUCAUCUAAGUAGUCCAAGGCGUG